AUACGAAGGGUGCAAGCGUUAAUCGGAAUUACUGGGCGUAAAGCGUGCGUAGGCGGUUUGUUAAGUCAGAUGUGAAAGCCCCGGGCUCAACCUGGGAACUGCAUUUGAUACUGGCAGGCUAGAGUACGGUAGAGGGUGGUGGAAUUCCCGGUGUAGCGGUGAAAUGCGUAGAGAUCGGGAGGAACAUCCGUGGCGAAGGCGGCCACCUGGACCGAUAUUGACGCUGAGACGCGAAAGCGUGGGGAGC
This 247-nucleotide ribosomal RNA is filed under the name uncultured bacterium. Its description in RNAcentral is "partial 16S ribosomal RNA". It matches the Rfam family "Bacterial small subunit ribosomal RNA", at positions 523 to 769 of the family's 1533-position model. The record is from RNAcentral.